GCAAAGGUAGCAUAAUCAUUAGUUCUUUAAUUGUGAUCUGGUAUGAAUGGCUUGACGAGACAUAAGCUGUCUUAGGGGUAUUGGUUUAUUGAAUUUGGUUUUUGAGUUAAAAUUCUUAGAUGUUUUUAUGGGACGAGAAGACCCUAUAGAGUUUGACAAUUUUCUUAUUUAUUCAUUGUUUGUUUUAUUUACAUUGAGUGGGAAUAGAUUGUUUUGUUGGGGUGAUGGGAGGAAUAUUAUUUAACUCCUCUUUGUUUUUAUAUAUUUAUGUAUAUGUUUUUGAUCCAUUUAUUUUGAUUAUAAGAUUAAAUUACCUUAGGGAUAACAGCGUUAUCCUCCUUGAGAGUUCUUAUUGGCGGGGGGGUUUGCG
RNAcentral lists this ribosomal RNA (370 nucleotides) under Nasutitermes takasagoensis. RNAcentral's name for it is "partial 16S ribosomal RNA". The record is from RNAcentral. Lineage: Eukaryota; Metazoa; Arthropoda; Insecta; Blattodea; Termitidae.